UACGGGGGGAGCAAGCGUUGUUCGGAUUUACUGGGCGUAAAGGGCGCGUAGGCGGCCACCGCAAGUCGACUGUGAAAUCUCCGGGCUUAACCCGGAAAGGUCCGCCGAUACUGCGGGGCUAGAGUGCAGAAGGGGCAACUGGAAUUCUCGGUGUAGCGGUGAAAUGCGUAGAUAUCGAGAGGAACACCUGCGGCGAAGGCGGGUUGCUGGGCUGACACUGACGCUGAUGCGCGAAAGCUAGGGGAGCGAACGGGAUUAGAAACCCCAGUAGUCC
Molecule: ribosomal RNA, 274 nt
Filed under: uncultured bacterium
Lineage: Bacteria
Description: partial 16S ribosomal RNA
Rfam family: Bacterial small subunit ribosomal RNA
Source: RNAcentral